This is a long non-coding RNA of Megachile rotundata (alfalfa leafcutting bee), 950 nucleotides long. NCBI's taxonomy places the organism in Eukaryota, Metazoa, Arthropoda, Insecta, Hymenoptera, Megachilidae. The record is from RefSeq and is a predicted model, not a curated record.
AUGGGUGGCGAUAUCGUGGGUGACGACACAACAAGACUGCACUUAAUUGUUUCGUUUCGUGAUCUGAUAAUUCACCUGUCAACAUUUAUUUCGUGAGAUAUUCUUGAAAACUGACGAAUCGAGAAGACAGCGAUAGUCGCGUCGCAUCAAGAUAUGCUGCGAAUCCUGAUUCAUAUAUAUCACGAGUUCGGUCUGGAUGCUAAACGAAUCAUAUCUAAUACUCGAAGUACAACUUUCAGAAACUUGGCAAACCGCAAACCUUCGCUUCGUUUCCUUAUUUACGCUUCGAAAUGAAUCUGAAUCAAUAAUGUUUUCGAUGAAAUUGGCGGAAGAGUUCGAAACGAAUCGAAAUUGUAACAGAUAACUUAGAAAAUUAGAAAUUAAAAAAUAGAAAAUUAGAAAUUAGAAAGAGAUGCACACGAAUCGCGAGGAAAGAAAUUAGAAGUGACAUUGCUCGGGAACAAACACUUGGUAAAUACGAUCAGAAGCUGGCACGGAAACGCGUGUUUCAAUGGAACAAGAUACACGUAUUACUUCCAUGCAGCUGAGAAUAGUUUAGGCAUCGCACGAUCGAAGAGAAAGGCGUGUUCUAGUUAUGUAUAUCGAUACAAGUUUUUUUCACCGUAUCGUUUCGUUGUUUUUCUAAUCGCGUCAAAUCAAAAACCAUUUAUCCAUUUUUACUUAUUCGCAGGCUCCCGCGAACAAUAGACUUUCGAACAAAGGAACUAAUAAAUGGAUGAUCGUUUGACCGACGAACGACCCCGGUACAUUCGCUUUGUAAGGAAUUAUCAACAAAGGAACGAUAAAAGAACGAAUUGACUCACCGUUUAAUUCUAUUAGAAUAUGCAAUUACAAUGCCUUACUAUGAUUUCAAGCCAUCUUAUAAUGUUAUUGAUUAUAUAUACAUGGGUAUAAAUCUGGUUCAUAUAAAAAUUUCUAAUUUUCCCUUA